Molecule: ribosomal RNA, 813 nt
Filed under: Natronobacterium innermongoliae
Lineage: Archaea; Methanobacteriati; Methanobacteriota; Halobacteria; Halobacteriales; Natrialbaceae
Description: bacterial SSU rRNA
Rfam family: Archaeal small subunit ribosomal RNA
Source: RNAcentral
GCCAUGCUAGUUGUACGAGUUGAGACUCGUAGCAGAUAGCUCAGUAACACGUUUUAAUGGUCAGUAUGGAUCCAGACAACCUCGGGAAACUGAGGUUUAUCUGGAAUAGGGCUCUCAUCCUGGAGUGGAGAGAGCCUGAAAUGCCCCGGCGCCAUAGGAUGUGGCUGCGGCCGAUUAGGUAGACGGUGGGGUAACGGCCCACCGUGCCAGUAAUCGGUACGGGUUGUGAGAGCAAGAGCCCGGAGACGGUAUCUGAGACAAGAUACCGGGCCCUACGGGGCGCAGCAGGCGCGAAACCUUUACACUGCACGCCAGUGCGAUAAGGGGACUCCAAGUGCGAGGGCAUAUAGUCCUCGCUUUUUGCGACCGUAAGGUGGUCGCGGAAUAAGUGCUGGGCAAGACCGGUGCCAGCCGCCGCGGUAAUACCGGCAGCACGAGUGAUGACCGCUGUUAUUGGGCCUAAAGCGUCCGUAGCUGGCCGCGCAAGUCUAUCGGGAAAUCUCUCCGCUUAACGGAGAGGCGUCCGGUGGAAACUGUGUGGCUUGGGACCGGAAGACCAGAGGGGUACGUCUGGGGUAGGAGUGAAAUCCCGUAAUCCUGGACGGACCACCGGUGGCGAAAGCGCCUCUGGAAGACGGAUCCGACGGUGAGGGACGAAAGCUCGGGUCACGAACCGGAUUAGAUACCCGGGUAGUCCGAGCUGUAAACGAUGUCUGCUAGGUGUGACACAGGCUACGAGCCUGUGUUGUGCCGUAGGGAAGCUAAGGUCAAGCCGCCUGGGAAGUACGUCCGCAAGGAUGAAACUAAAGGAAU